GAUGAACGCUAGCUACAGGCUUAACACAUGCAAGUCGAGGGGAAACGGCGGAGGAGCUUGCUUCUUCGGACGUCGACCGGCGCACGGGUGAGUAACGCGUAUCCAACCUGCCCCGGUCUGCGGGAUAACCCGUCGAAAGACGGACUAAUACCGCAUGGGGUUCCCUGAGGGCAUCUGACGGGAACUAAAGAUUGAUCGGACCGGGAUGGGGAUGCGUCUGAUUAGCUCGUUGGCGGGGUAACGGCCCACCAAGGCUACGAUCAGUAGGGGUUCUGAGAGGAAGGUCCCCCACAUAGGAACUGAGACACGGUCCUAACUCCUACGGGAGGCAGCAGUGAGGAAUAUUGGUCAAUGGGCGGGAGCCUGAACCAGCCAAGUAGCGUGCAGGAAGACGGCCCUAUGGGUUGUAAACUGCUUUUAUGCGGGGAUAAAGUGGGCCACGCGUGGCUUAUUGCAGGUACCGCAUGAAUAAGGACCGGCUAAUUCCGUGCCAGCAGCCGCGGUAAUACGGAAGGUCCGGGCGUUAUCCGGAUUUAUUGGGUUUAAAGGGAGUGUAGGCGGCCUGUCAAGCGUGUUGUGAAAUGCGGAUGCUCAACAUCCGCACUGCAGCGCGAACUGGCUGGCUUGAGUGCACGCAAUGUAGGCGGAAUUCAUGGUGUAGCGGUGAAAUGCUUAGAUAUCAUGAGGAACUCCGAUCGCGAAGGCAGCUUACGGGAGUGCGACUGACGCUUAAGCUCGAAGGUGCGGGUAUCGAACAGG
Molecule: ribosomal RNA, 759 nt
Filed under: uncultured bacterium
Lineage: Bacteria
Description: bacterial SSU rRNA
Rfam family: Bacterial small subunit ribosomal RNA
Source: RNAcentral